RNAcentral lists this long non-coding RNA (622 nucleotides) under Mus musculus (house mouse). Its description in RNAcentral is "predicted gene, 47200". The record is from RNAcentral. Lineage: Eukaryota; Metazoa; Chordata; Mammalia; Rodentia; Muridae.
CGGGUCUCACCAGCGUGGGUUAAGCUGGGCAGUUUGAGACCCCGAGACCCUAUGGGCCGGAGCUGAUGCAGCUGAUCCAGCCUAAGGUUCUCCAGGCGGCGAAGCGUGGAGAGUCCGGUGGCCGAGACACAAGGUCCUUCAUCCAAGCUGGACAAGUCCUCAGUGCUGCCCCCGGCGUUGCCGGCCAUCUCCACGCCGCUGUCCGUGUUGGCCGCACUGCCUGCUGGGGAGUGGUCGCUGCUGCAAGAGGACUGCGCUCCGGGGCUCUGCUGCGGCUGUGAGGAGGAUGAGAACAGAGGGGGUGGCACACGGCCCAACUCCCUCCUGACAUGGGGUAUUCUCGAGGAAGAGGAGGGUUUCCCGUCGAGGCCCGCGGAGGCGCUGCAGCGCGGUCUUGAGAGCCCCUCUGGACACUGGCCGACUGAGUAUGGGGCGCUGGCUGAGGUGCAGCUUGUCCAGGAUACUUUUCUUGGCCAAAUCGAGAAGCAGCUCCCGCUGGCUCUCCAGGUCAAAGAUGGCACCCCAACAUGCUGGGCAUGGACCCUCAGUUUUGGGGUUCACUACUGUGGUUGGAGUCAGGAACAGAAGAGCCAGGAGCAAGGAGGAGGCCAUUGCUGGAGGA